UACAGAGGGUGCGAGCGUUAAUCGGAAUUACUGGGCGUAAAGCGUGCGUAGACGGUUACAUAAGUCGGGUGUGAAAGCCCCGGGCUCAACCUGGGAAUUGCAUUCGAGACUGCGUAGCUAGGGUGCGGAAGAGGGAAGCGGAAUUUCGGGUGUAGCGGUGAAAUGCGUAGAUAUCCGAAGGAACAUCAGUGGCGAAAGCGGCUUCCUGGUCCAGCACCGACGUUCAGGCACGAAAGCGUGGGGAGCAAACAGG
Molecule: ribosomal RNA, 253 nt
Filed under: uncultured bacterium
Lineage: Bacteria
Description: partial 16S ribosomal RNA
Rfam family: Bacterial small subunit ribosomal RNA
Source: RNAcentral